AUUGAUUGUUGCGACUCCUAUCUCUCCAUUGAUUGCCAGGGUUGAUUUGGCCGAUCUGGCUGGCUAGGCAGGUGUCCACUUCCUCUCUCAUCACUCCACAUGUGACCCUCUCAAAGAUGCGAGAUCAGUUGAAGAGGACAACUACCUCCAAUGGAGGAGGACCAGUCUUCGAUCAAGAAUAUAUGAGUGGCUGCACUCCCCUGCUAGCACCUCCAAACAAGCUCUCACGUCUAAGCUCCUAUGAGUCUACAGAUCAGCCCUAUAGAUGUUCAAGGGCAAAAUU
Capra hircus (goat) is the source of this 283-nucleotide unclassified non-coding RNA. Its record names the gene 7SK. It matches the Rfam family "7SK RNA". Rfam says of the family: 7SK was discovered as an abundant small nuclear RNA in the mid-70s but a possible function has only recently been suggested. Two independent studies have found that 7SK RNA binds the CDK9/cyclin T complex (known as elongation factor P-TEFb). NCBI's taxonomy places the organism in Eukaryota, Metazoa, Chordata, Mammalia, Artiodactyla, Bovidae. The record is from Ensembl.